RNAcentral lists this ribosomal RNA (496 nucleotides) under uncultured bacterium. RNAcentral describes it as "partial 16S ribosomal RNA". It matches the Rfam family "Bacterial small subunit ribosomal RNA", at positions 28 to 507 of the family's 1533-position model. The record is from RNAcentral.
GAUGAACGCUGGCGGCGUGCCUAAUACAUGCAAGUCGAGCGAACGGACGAGAAGCUUGCUUCUCUGAUGUUAGCGGCGGACGGGUGAGUAACACGUGGAUAACCUACCUAUAAGACUGGGAUAACUUCGGGAAACCGGAGCUAAUACCGGAUAAUACUUUAAACCGCAUGGUUCAAAAGUGAAAGACGGUCUUGCUGUCACUUAUAGAUGGAUCCGCGCUGCAUUAGCUAGUUGGUAAGGUAACGGCUUACCAAGGCAACGAUGCAUAGCCGACCUGAGAGGGGGAUCGGCCACACGGGAACUGAGACACGGUCCAGACUCCUACGGAGGCAGCAGUAGGGAAUCUUCCGCAAUGGGCGAAAGCCUGACGGAGCAACGCCGCGUGAGUGAUGAAGGUCUUCGGAUCGUAAAACUCUGUUAUUAGGGAAGAACAUAUGUGUAAGUAACUGUGCACAUCUUGACGGUACCUAAUCAGAAAGCCACGGCUAACUACGUG